Long non-coding RNA from Carya illinoinensis, 1849 nucleotides. RefSeq lists it as uncharacterized. The transcript is spliced from 2 exons. NCBI's taxonomy places the organism in Eukaryota, Viridiplantae, Streptophyta, Magnoliopsida, Fagales, Juglandaceae. The record is from RefSeq and is a predicted model, not a curated record.
GGUGGUGUGGAUUGGAUGUCACAAUGUGGAUCGUUUGUUUGAUUCGAUCCACGCCCGCUCGUCUCCGUCGUCAGAUCACGAUGACGGGUCUCAAACUCCCUAUAUAAACACUUCAAGCCCAGGUGCUCCACGACGCUCUAACCAACUGAGCUAAUAGGCCAGUCGGAGCAUCAGCUUCAUGGAUCGAUAGCACUUGAGCAUGAAAACCCCUAAACGGAAACAAAGAUUGGCGGCCCAGCUCAUUCUUGCAAAUCAUGGGCCUGUGGUGAUUGACAAGCUCCAUGCUUCCACGUUUGCAAACUUGAUCGGGAUGCGCCAAGGAAAACGACGACCUCGUGAUGCAGACCAAGCAGCUCGGGAGGUGCCGAUGCUGUGCUGAUGAUGCAGCUGGGCUUGUACUGGUUCAGCCAGAAGACUAACAAGGAGAUCAACUCCGUCGCUCUCUUUCCUCUCUCUCUACCCCCACCGGUGACCCACCGCAGGAAGCUCGUCGAUCGUCUGAGCUCUCACCGGAACAAAGCUCUCACCGGAGCGAAGCUAAACUCUCACGGUGAACCCAGAUCAGAUGAGGAUCUGAUGGAGAAGAAACCAACACACAAGCACAGUGAGAUCAACUACAUCAUCCGUUUCUCUUCCUUUCUCUCUAUAUAUUUUUUUUUUCCAGCUUUGUAAAGAUAGAGACUGAUCGGAAACGAAAGAAAACCCCAUGGCACUGAGCCAAACACCACUGUUGAAACUACGACCUCUGGUCCAAAAGGCCUAUGAGGUCGCCCACAAGAUGUAUCAUGGUCAGGUGCAACCGCAUGAUAAACAUGAUUUGCCAGAAAAGUGAUUUGGUGGCGCCAUGAAUUCCGAGUUUCUCGGAACCCAUGAAGAAGAGCUCUCUGAGUAAGGGUCCGGUACUUUUCCAUGGUGGCCACCGACUUCUCCCUUCACCGAUACAUGCAGAACAAAAACUGUGAAAGGUAGGUGGGAACUGUGAAAGAACUGUGAAAAGUAGGUUGGUGGGAACUAAUGCUUCUGUAGGUACUUAAUUACGACUAUUAUUGCUUUUGCAAUAAUGGUUGGGUGGUCCCCACUUUACUAGAGACAGCGGUCAUGCAUUUCGGUAAGAACAUCAAGGAGAUUAUCAAUGAGGAGUUUGGUGAUGACAUCAUGUCAGCUAUUGAUUUCUUUUGCUCAGUCGACAAAGUUAAAGGCGUGGGGCUUGUCGGCAGCAUUUGAAUAAGGGUGCUGGAGUCCAUGAACGUGGCCGACUUCACUGACAAUAAAUCUCACAUACAAUUUACAAGAGUGAAUCUUUAUCAUUUUGGCUUUAUGCGACAAAGUCACUAAAGGAAACGUGGAAGUUUGAAAAAAAAAAAAAGUCAGAAAAAGGGGCGUUUGUUGAUGAAAAUAAAAUAAAAAAUGAUAAAAGUUAAAAAUGGAUGGGUGGAAGAAGACGUCCAUUAUAACUCCUCUUUUCUUAUAUUAUUAUAUUUUUUUUUAUUUUAUAUUAUUAUAUCUUGAAAAAGUAUAGAUAUAAAAAAAAAAGUUUGAUUUAUUUAGUGCGGUGGAUACCUACGCAUGCAACUUAGUGUUGUGAGGUGAGUGUUGCUAUAAAGUUUUCCUACUCAGUUUUGCAAGUUGCUAGCAAAGGACAGGCAGCCUGGUAAAUCAUGUGGAGUGGGGUCCAGAUACCAUCAAGCCAAUUUAAAAUCCUUUUCGGUGGAGUUCAAAGUAAACCUAUAUGACAGAGUUCGAACAGGAUUCAGUGGGCAUUUUUACUUCAAGUAAGUUUUUCAAUAUAUCAUUUGAAAUCUUUAAAGUAAAUAUUGGUGAAUUAAAAUUUUCAUAAUUUACAUAUCAA